This 160-nucleotide unclassified non-coding RNA is filed under the name uncultured Neonectria. Its description in RNAcentral is "sequence contains ITS2". Lineage: Eukaryota; Fungi; Ascomycota; Sordariomycetes; Hypocreales; Nectriaceae. The record is from RNAcentral.
CAACCCUCAAGCCCCCGGGCUUGGUGUUGGGGAUCGGCGAGCCUCUGCGCCCGCCGUCCCCUAAAUUUAGUGGCGGUCACGUUGUAACUUCCUCUGCGUAGUAGCACACUUAGCACUGGGAAACAGCGCGGCCACGCCGUAAAACCCCCAACUUUAGAAU